AACGCUGGCGGCGUGCUUAACACAUGCAAGUCGAACGGAACACCCUUGACAGAGGUUCGGCCAAUGAAGAGGAAUGUUUAGUGGCGGACUGGUGAGUAACGCGUGAGGAACCUGCCUUUCAGAGGGGGACAACAGUUGGAAACGACUGCUAAUACCGCAUGAAGCAGCGGGGGGACAUCCCCCUUGCUGUCAAAGAUUUAUCGCUGAAAGAUGGCCUCGCGUCUGAUUAGCUAGUUGGUGGGGUAACGGCCCACCAAGGCGACGAUCAGUAGCCGGACUGAGAGGUUGACCGGCCACAUUGGGACUGAGAUACGGCCCAGACUCCUACGGGAGGCAGCAGUGGGGAAUAUUGGGCAAUGGACGCAAAGUCUGACCCAGCAACGCCGCGUGAAGGAAGAAGGCUUUCGGGUUGUAAACUUCUUUUAACAGGGAAGAGAAGAAGACGGUACCUGUUGAAUAAGCCACGGCUAACUACGUGCCAGCCGCUGC
This 489-nucleotide ribosomal RNA is filed under the name uncultured bacterium. RNAcentral's name for it is "bacterial SSU rRNA". It matches the Rfam family "Bacterial small subunit ribosomal RNA", at positions 32 to 518 of the family's 1533-position model. The record is from RNAcentral.